This 376-nucleotide long non-coding RNA is filed under the name Coturnix japonica (Japanese quail). RNAcentral's name for it is "lncRNA (ENSCJPG00005012324.1)". Lineage: Eukaryota; Metazoa; Chordata; Aves; Galliformes; Phasianidae. The record is from RNAcentral.
UCUGUGUUCUCACUGGACAAGUGCUGACUCUCUUUCUCCUUUUAUGCGUGGUUGUUACCCAGGAAAGACCAUCCUACUAGGAGAUCUGUGCAUUCAGAAGCCCAUGCAAGCAGAUGGAAACAGCAGCUGCCAAGCACACUACACCUCCCAGCCUGCAAUAACAAUCACACAUCACCUCACCUCUGGCCCACACUUGGCCUUCUGCUGCUGCAGCAUGACAAACCACUGCACACCAUCACCUCUUGUGUCCCCAGCUCAGCAGAAAGAUAAGGGCCUCUCCAGGGCUUUUGCUGCCUCCACCACCAUCGGUCAACAUCCAGGAAGGAAGACGUUUCUAAGGAAACCACGGAGGCUUUCCACCAAGGUGGUUGCAUGA